CCAUUAUAACCAUCCUCAACUUUAUAAUUGGAAGAACAAAUACAAUCUCAAAGUCCAUACAAUCUCAAACUCACCAGGCAUAAUGAUGAGACUUAUGAAAUUACAGUUUCUGGUAGUUCUUGUGUUGAUGAUUUGGUACCAGGGUGGUAAACAUGAUUCCAUUAACAUCAAACCAUUUGGGGUUCCGUCUCCAAAAAAAAUGCAUUUCGCGUUGUGUUAAAACCAGUUAUAUACUCAAGUAUUGUUGUGCUGGGGUAGAAGAAGACUCUUGCUGCAUCCCGAAUGAAGCAUUAUGUAAUAAAGACUGUCCAUCAUUGCAAAAUUGUUGUCCCCACAAAUAAAUAUUAUUGCUAUUAUGAUCAUA
Helianthus annuus (common sunflower) is the source of this 364-nucleotide long non-coding RNA. RefSeq lists it as uncharacterized. Lineage: Eukaryota; Viridiplantae; Streptophyta; Magnoliopsida; Asterales; Asteraceae. The record is from RefSeq and is a predicted model, not a curated record. The transcript is spliced from 2 exons.